AUUGAACGCUGGCGGCAGGCCUAACACAUGCAAGUCGAGCGGUAGCACAGGGAGCUUGCUCCUGGGUGACGAGCGGCGGACGGGUGAGUAAUGUCUGGGAAACUGCCUGAUGGAGGGGGAUAACUACUGGAAACGGUAGCUAAUACCGCAUAACGUCGCAAGACCAAAGAGGGGGACCUUCGGGCCUCUUGCCAUCAGAUGUGCCCAGAUGGGAUUAGCUAGUAGGUGGGGUAACGGCUCACCUAGGCGACGAUCCCUAGCUGGUCUGAGAGGAUGACAAGCCACACUGGAACUGAGACACGGUCCAGACUCCUACGGGAGGCAGCAGUGGGGAAUAUUGCACAAUGGGCGCAAGCCUGAUGCAGCCAUGCCGCGUGUAUGAAGAAGGCCUUCGGGUUGUAAGGUACUUUCAGCGGGGAGGAAGGCGAUAAGGUUAAUAACCUUGUCGAUUGACGUUACCCGCAGAAGAAGCACCGGCUAACUCCGUGCCAGCAGCAGCCGCCG
RNAcentral lists this ribosomal RNA (504 nucleotides) under uncultured bacterium. RNAcentral's name for it is "partial 16S ribosomal RNA". It matches the Rfam family "Bacterial small subunit ribosomal RNA", at positions 30 to 523 of the family's 1533-position model. The record is from RNAcentral.